Molecule: transfer RNA, 72 nt
Filed under: Candidatus Woesearchaeota archaeon
Lineage: Archaea; Nanobdellati; Candidatus Woesearchaeota
Description: tRNA-Gly
Rfam family: tRNA
About the family: Transfer RNA (tRNA) molecules are approximately 80 nucleotides in length. Their secondary structure includes four short double-helical elements and three loops (D, anti-codon, and T loops).
Source: RNAcentral
GCGCCGAUGGUUUAGUGGUUAGAAUGCGGCCUUGCCAAGGCUGCGACCCGAGUUCGAAUCUCGGUCGGCGCA